CAUUCAUAACAAGGAGUUAAGGUUUAAGGAAAAAUAAACAAAGAGGCAAUAAAACAGAUAAGCUGAAGAGGAAGUAAGAUGCAAGUCCUAGUAUAUAAACCUCGAUGACUCCACGUCUCCUGUCAAUGGUGCGCUGGACAACAUAGUCCUUUGAAGUGUGUCCUUUCCUAAAGGAAUGGAAUGUCCUAGGAAAGGGGCUCCCCGUAUCUGAAGAAGCCUUUGAUUCCUGAUUAUUUAACAAAACAAAAAGAAGCAAUGAUAUCCUCAGCAGAACCCUAGCAGGUAAUAAAA
Long non-coding RNA from Hibiscus syriacus, 291 nucleotides. RefSeq lists it as uncharacterized. The transcript is spliced from 3 exons. The record is from RefSeq and is a predicted model, not a curated record. NCBI's taxonomy places the organism in Eukaryota, Viridiplantae, Streptophyta, Magnoliopsida, Malvales, Malvaceae.